This 457-nucleotide ribosomal RNA is filed under the name Actinomyces sp. HMSC035G02. Its description in RNAcentral is "bacterial SSU rRNA". It matches the Rfam family "Bacterial small subunit ribosomal RNA", at positions 1 to 455 of the family's 1533-position model. The record is from RNAcentral. Lineage: Bacteria; Bacillati; Actinomycetota; Actinomycetes; Actinomycetales; Actinomycetaceae.
UGUUCGGAGAGUUUGAUCCUGGCUCAGGACGAACGCUGGCGGCGUGCUUAACACAUGCAAGUCGAACGCUGAAGCCCAGCUUGCUGGGUGGAUGAGUGGCGAACGGGUGAGUAACACGUGAGUAACCUGCCCCCUUCUUUGGGAUAACGCCCGGAAACGGGUGCUAAUACUGGAUAUUCACUGGCCUUCGCAUGGGGGUUGGUGGAAAGGUUUUUUCUGGUGGGGGAUGGGCUCGCGGCCUAUCAGCUUGUUGGUGGGGUGAUGGCCUACCAAGGCUUUGACGGGUAGCCGGCCUGAGAGGGUGACCGGUCACAUUGGGACUGAGAUACGGCCCAGACUCCUACGGGAGGCAGCAGUGGGGAAUAUUGCACAAUGGGCGAAAGCCUGAUGCAGCGACGCCGCGUGAGGGAUGACGGCCUUCGGGUUGUAAACCUCUUUCGCUCAUGGUCAAGCCGCA